Molecule: ribosomal RNA, 254 nt
Filed under: uncultured prokaryote
Description: partial 16S ribosomal RNA
Rfam family: Bacterial small subunit ribosomal RNA
Source: RNAcentral
ACGGAGGGUGCGAGCGUUGUCCGGAAUCAUUGGGCGUAAAGGGCGCGUAGGUGGCCCGGUCAGUCCGUGGUGAAAGCGCGGGGCUCAACCCUGCGUCGGCCAUGGAUACUGCCGCGGCUGGGGCACUGUAGAGGCAGGCGGAAUUCCCGGUGUAGCGGUGAAAUGCGUAGAUAUCGGGAGGAACAUCGAUGGCGAAAGCAACCGUCUGGGCCUGAACUGACACUGAGACACGAAAGCGUGGGGAGCAAACAGGA